GCUGUAGUGUAGGGUUCAUCACGUUUGCCUAACAUACAAAAGAUCCCCAGUUCAACACCAGGCAGAAACA
Megalops atlanticus (tarpon) is the source of this 70-nucleotide non-coding RNA. The record is from the annotation of a GenBank genome assembly. Lineage: Eukaryota; Metazoa; Chordata; Actinopteri; Elopiformes; Megalopidae.